GCGACUUUAUGCCAUUAUCUCGAUUACUAUAACUUUUUUAAUUGAAAGUUUCCCUACCCAGUUUUGCAAGUAUGAACGUAUGCUGUUUCUAACAUUUUCCUGGUAGAUCGCUGAAAAAAUAAAGUGAAAUUGACAAAAUUAUCUUUUACGGGAUAUUUACUACGACUCGUAAAGUGAAAUCAAGAAUGGCCAUCCGGUUAGUACGUCAAGCAAGCAUGACUUCCACCUUCAUUAUUCAUAGAACAGGAAUACUUUUUCAUAGUGUCAUGUCGAGGGAAAGGCGAAUACGAUAGAGAAUUGGACUUGCUGAGGUUAACCUUAUAACUUUAAGUGUCCAAUUUAUAUCGUACUUAAUGCGAUAAGAUAGCGCGAGGGAAUGCUUUGAAUAAAGUCAGAAGUAGAUAUGUGAA
This is a long non-coding RNA of Hermetia illucens (black soldier fly), 410 nucleotides long. RefSeq lists it as uncharacterized. Lineage: Eukaryota; Metazoa; Arthropoda; Insecta; Diptera; Stratiomyidae. The transcript has 2 exons. The record is from RefSeq and is a predicted model, not a curated record.